This 5185-nucleotide small RNA is filed under the name Pongo abelii (Sumatran orangutan). RNAcentral's name for it is "processed transcript". The record is from RNAcentral. Lineage: Eukaryota; Metazoa; Chordata; Mammalia; Primates; Hominidae.
GCUGGGGUUGGCUGCAGGCUCCAGGAGUUAGGUUCCACAUGGAUUUCAGAUGAGACUUUCUUGCUAACCCUACUUUUUUUCUGAUUAUAAAAGUAAUAAAGACUCCUUGUAGAGGAGGCAAAAUACAAAGGAGAGUGUGAAGCCCCCAUCACUCCACUAAUGUUCACCAGUUGGGGGUGGGAGGUGUUUUCCUUCAGAUUUCUGUGUAUACAUUUAUAACUGGCAUCCUUUUGUAUGCAAUGUUAACUGCCUUUUGUUUUCACUAAGCAAUGUAUUAUGUUGAGCACCCAUUUUGGGAGAGUAGACAGCCUGUACCACGGUCAGCCCGCACACAGGCUGCACGAAUCCAGGCACCUCGCUGGCUCCAAAGCCCACGAAGGGACCCCGCCCAGGAUGUCAGAGUCUCUGUCACUCCCGGGCAGAAGGAGACAGUGAUGACGGGAAGGAGAUUUCUCCACCCAGGUGAACUCCUCCCUCACCUCCCCGACGGGGCGAGGCUCCAUGGCUGCCCCCUCGCUGCACCCGUCCCUGGGGCCUGGCAUCGGCUCCCCGGGACAGCUGCACUCUCCCAUCAGCACCCUGAGCUCCCCCAUCAACGGCAUGGGCCCGCCUUUCUCGGUCAUCAGCUCCCCCAUGGGCCCCCACUCCAUGUCGGUGCCUACAACACCCACCCUGGGCUUCGGCACUGGCAGCCCCCAGGUGAGUGCGGGGCUGGGGCAAGGGGAGGGGUGGGCCUGGGGGUGGGGCCUGGGGUGGGGCUGUGGCUUCAACUGCAGGACGACCGCCUCAUCUUAAGGCCUCUGGGAGGUAGGUGCUGUGGUCUCCCUGCUUGACGCAGAGUAUACAGAGCCUCAGGGAGCAGCGUGCCGCGGGGGUUUGAGCCCAGGUGGGGCUGACUGCUGAGCCUGGGCCUUUGGAUCAUCAGCCGAGGUGCCUUGCAGCGGGUUAUCUGUCCACAUGGCCCCUUCCCAUGCUGGAGGGCUCGGGACUCCCUGUUCCCAUGACUGGGGGGCUCAGCAGAGAGAGGCUGUGGCCUCCCUCAGGCCUAAGCCUGCUUCCCCAAAAGCUUGUGCCCACACAGUCUGGGUCCUCCCCUGAAGUCUCUGCUCACACCCAGGUCAAAGGGCCCCCAGGGAAGGCGUGUUCGGGCUCAGGGCAGCUGCGUCCCCCCUCAGGGAUGCCGGCCCUGGGACCUGCAGUGGCCGGGUGUGGCCGCGGUGCUCCGUGGUCUGGGCUCCCCCAUGGCCGUCUGUGGGGCGUGGGGACCUUUUCCAUAGUUGAGGUUUGCUCAGUCGCUUCUCCAGCUCAGCCUGGCCCUUUGGGCUGUUUCUGGAUCAGGAAGGGCUGGUGCCUGGCAGAGCCUGGCACAGUCCAGGUCUUGUCAUGGGGAACUUGGGGACCUGGUCCAUGCUCCCCUUCUUCCUUAGAAAAGAUACCCCGAGUGUCUCUCGUGGAGUUGUCCCCAGCCCUGGGGUGUCCGGUCUGUGAGGGUGGAGGGCGAGGCUCCGGGUGGUUGCUUGUGGAUUUCCACCUGGCCAGCCGGAACCUCCCAGACUCCCACUAGGCCCUCCCUCUCCAGGGGCUCCUCACAUGAGCAGGGGUGCUCCUUCCACUCUGAAUUUCUGUGUUUGGGUUUCACCCUGUGUCCCUAGUAGCUGAAGGCUCCAUGGCAGAGUUUUGGUGCCAUCUCAGGACAGCCCACCAGGGUGGGACUUGCCCUAGCAGCUCCUCUGCCCACACACAGCUGACAGCGCCAGAUGUGUCCUGUGGACUCCCAAGCCCCCUGCUGCUCUGCCUCAGUUUACCUAGGGCAGGCACUAGGCCCAAGGGAUUGCACGUGAGGGGGCCAGGAGGCAGCAGGUGGACACCUAGUCCCAAGCCCCCAUGCUAUCUCCCAGGUAGUCCGGGACUGCUCCUGACCUAGGACUGGGCUGUGGUUGGGGUCUGGAGCCGGCCUACUGCCCAUCCACCUGGGCCUGUUUAGAGCUGGCCUUGACCUCCUGAGCUCCUUUUCCCUGGAGAAUCUUGCUGGCUUUCUGGGCCAACCCCACCAAAGCCCCUCUCCUCUGGGGGAUAUGUGCAGAAGAACUGGGGCCUCUGCUCCGUGUCCCCCUCAUAUCACCUGGCCUUCUGAAAGCAGGCAGCAGGCCCAAGGUGCUGGCACGAGGGAGGCCUGGUCGUGUUAUUUUUAGUACACCAGCCCUGCCCCUGCUCUUGCUGGCAGCACGGUGCCCUGUGGCGAGAGGGUGAUGAAGACUUGGCUUCCGCCCGUCCCUUGGCUCACUGGCUGGCACCUGCUUGGUCCCAGGGCCCCAGGAUGCCCCUUGCUGGGUCUUCCCAGGUCUGCCGCCUGCCCUGGACACCCAGGGGUCUAGUGCACAGUAGGUUACCCCCUGCGGGUGGCAGUGGUGCUCCCAGAAUCCUCAGGGGUGCCUGGUGGCCUCGGCACUGUUGAGCCCUUCUCGGGGAGGGAAUGGGCAGCACUAGGGGAGGAGGCUUUUCAGGGCUGCUUCUGGGUCGUUCUCUGUUGCUUCCUGUGCAGCCAGGCUUCUGGCACAAAGCAGGGACUUGUUGAAGCCAAGUUGCUUGGGAGUGAGUGGUGCAGGUCCCCUUGACACUGGCGAGGGCCCCAGGGUGGGUGUGGGUGAGGAGCAGACGCGGGUUGUCCCAGACGUUCCCUGCCCAGCCGCUGUUGGCGUCGGUCUGCCGUUGGGCUGUGGGUCUCACCCGCAGUUAGUUUGCUGUGGUCUGAGGCCCAUGCUUGACUUGGCCCUGGUUCCCCAGAACCCAUAGCUCCUUCCCUGGGGGUUGAGUCCAGGUUCGAGGCCUCAGCAGUUUGUCUUGGAACUCUGGGGUUCCUCACAUUCAUGGGAGUGUGAGCAGGGUUUCAGGAGGGAUGUGCCCCCACUCCUAGCCCCAAAACCACAACCGCAAAGUCAGAGUUGCUGGAGCCAGAGAGAUUCUCUGACUUCUGCUGCUGUUGGGGAGGGCCAGGCACUCUGCCAAGUGCUGCCUUCUGCCUUCUCAAGUCCAUGGCCGGGAAGGGCCUUCCAUGUGGCCGCGCCCAGGCCACUGGACCCCUCCUGGUGGGGGAAUAGGAGUCUGGGGGGCUUGGGUAGACCCAGGGCAGACCACAGCUGCCUGGCCCCUGAGCUGUCCCAAAUCUCUUCCCUGGUCUGGAGGCUGUACCUCCAGAGCAGGCCCAGGGGACAUUCCCCACACUGUCCCAGAGCCUUCCUGGCUACAGCCGGCUCACCUGGGCACGUUGCAGGUAUUGGUGGAGUGAGUUGGCGCCACCUUCCACACAGAGCACUUCUGAGUGCCUGGCGUGGAGCUGGACUUGGUGUCAAGGCCUCUGAGCUCCAGCAAAGCCUCCUGGCGGGAGGGCCUGCCCAGGGCCUGUGGGGCUGUGAUGUGUGCACAGAGAGUGUGGACGCGAGGCUGAGUGGGCUUCACGGGGUCAGAAGCAGGGCAGCACCGGCGCCUACCCGCCAGGGACUGAGGUUGGAGGGGAGUGUGCAGAGGAGCUGGUGUGCUUCUGCCUUGAUGGACAGAUGAGGCCCAGCAAGGCCCAGGGGCCUGCUCCUGGCGCAGAGUGGACCUUCCCCAAGUCGGGGCUGGUGGAGAGACCCUUCAGGGGCUCAGGAAGGAAGGGUGUGGUGGGUGUGAGGAGAGAGCCAAGAGACGGGCAGGAGACCUGGGUGGGGCACCGAGGCGGCGGGAACUGAAAUAAGUGCCAAGGAUCUGAAAGGGGAAAUGGGAUGGCCCUCACCCUGGCCACGCAUGGAGUCCUGAGGCUCCAGCAAAGCAACAAUGGCAGCCUGGCUCUCCUAGGAGCCGGAGCAGGGAGUGUGGGAGGAGACCCUGGAUAGCUGGGGGGCUGUGGAGCCCACUGAGGGAGGGACAGACCAAGGCAGACCCUGGGGGUGGCCCUGUGCUGCGCUCUGGGGGCUGUGAGCCAACCCAAGGCCCAGCAGCCUGGGGCUGGAAGGGCGGAAGAACGCCCGCCUGGCCUCCCGAUCCUGGCACAGCCUUGCUUCUGCAGCCUGGACCGUCCUCCAGGUGAGCCCAGAGAAGCAAGGUGGGUGGCCCCAGGGCCUGCAGCCAGGAUGGGCACCUCAGCCCGGGCUCCACUCUUCUCAGAUGUGCAGAGGCUCACCGGGCCCUGGGCUCACUGGGCUAGCCAGAGCCUCUGAUCUCACUGAGGUCUAGGGGAGCCAGGGAUGCACCCUGAGUUCAGUGCAGGAGCUGGCUUGGCCCUGACGCUGAGAGGGAGGGUGACCAUCUGCCAUUCUGUCCUGCCUGGAGUCCCUUUCCUGGCCAGGGCUGCUCUGGUGCUCCCUCAGUUUACCCAGGGCAGGUGCUAAGGCCCAAGGGACUGCACAUGGGGGGCCGGGAGGCAGCAGGUGGAUCCCUACCCACCCGAGGUGGUUUGGGACAGCCUAGAAAGAGGAAGUGUGUGAAUUCCUUUCCUUUGUGCUUCCGAGCAACCUGGACCUGCAUAGUCAUGGCCUGUGCUCCCCCAGCCUCUGGCCCAAGGGCCUCCUGCUCAUACACCUCGGUGCCUCCCCAGUGCUAGGGCACAAAGCGAGGGUGCCCGACACUUCCUGCUUGUGGAUGCCUUUGCUGCCCCUGCUCUGACCUGAUCCCCGCCCCGGCUGUACCUACUUCUUUCCUUUUUUCAAGCAAGCCCUUUGCUUCCCCACCUCUGAACACUGGCUUGGGGGCCCCUCUGCCUGGGACACCCCUUUCUUCCUCCCAGGACCUGGCCCAUCUCCUCCAGGAGGCUUGAGUGCUCGCUGCAGCGGCUGGCCUCCCUGUAAGAGUGAGUUGUCUGCAAGCUCUGCUCUGAGCCCUGGCACAUAGAGUGACUCGGUUACACUUAAUCAGCUCUCAGAGGCAUUGGCUGGGCACGGUGGCUGAACGCCUGUAAUCCCAGCACUUUGGGAGGCCGAGGCGGGAGGAUUGCUUGAGCCUAGGAGUUGGAGACAAGCCUGGGCAACAUAGUUGAGACCCCGCCACUAUAAAAAAAAAAAUAGCUGAGUGCAGUGGCAUGCACUUGUAAUCCCAGCUACUCAGGAGGCUGAAGCAGGAGGAUCAAUUGGGCCUGGAAGUUUGAGGCUGCAGUGACUAUGAUUGUGCCACUGUACUCCAGCCUGGGCAACAGAGUGAGACCCUGUUUCGG